Molecule: long non-coding RNA, 225 nt
Filed under: Lathyrus oleraceus (garden pea)
Lineage: Eukaryota; Viridiplantae; Streptophyta; Magnoliopsida; Fabales; Fabaceae
Description: Pisum sativum (pea) long non-coding RNA (PSAT_LNC000579)
Source: RNAcentral
GAAAAACUAAAUUUAUUUCAUAUUAUACGUUUGUGACAAAAAUACCAUUACAUAAACAAUAACACAAACAAUUAAAACACUAGAAUACAAGAAUUAUGCGAUUACAACCAUCAAAACAAUUUUGAACAUGUAAUGCAUCAUUCUACGAACGUCUUAGUCAGUCUUAAUUUCCACUCAUUCACGCACUUCUCCAUUUUGUUGAACAUGGACACAAGUCAUUGUAUU